RNAcentral lists this ribosomal RNA (449 nucleotides) under uncultured bacterium. RNAcentral's name for it is "partial 16S ribosomal RNA". It matches the Rfam family "Bacterial small subunit ribosomal RNA", at positions 29 to 523 of the family's 1533-position model. The record is from RNAcentral.
AAUGAACGCUGGCGGCAUGCCUAACACAUGCAAGUCGAACGAAGGCUUCGGCCUUAGUGGCGCACGGGUGCGUAACGCGUGGGAAUCUGCCCUCAGGUUCGGAAUAACAGCGAGAAAUUGCUGCUAAUACCGGAUGAUAUCGCGAGAUCAAAGAUUUAUCGCCUGAGGAUGAGCCCGCGUAGGAGUAGCUAGUUGGUGUGGUAAAGGCGCACCAAGGCGACGAUCCUUAGCUGGUCUGAGAGGAUGAUCAGCCACACUGGGACUGAGACACGGCCCAGACGCCUACGGGAGGCAACAGUGGGGAAUAUUGGACAAUGGGCGAAAGCCUGAUCCAGCAAUGCCGCGUGAGUGAUGAAGGCCUUAGGGUUGUAAAGCUCUUUUACCCGGGAUGAUAAUGACAGUACCGGGAGAAUAAGCUCCGGCUAACUCCGUGCCAGCAGCCGCGGUAA